UAGGGAAUCUUCGGCAAUGGGGGCAACCCUGACCGAGCAACGCCGCGUGAGUGAAGAGGGUUUUCGGUUCGUAAAGCUCUGUUGUAAGAGAAGAACGUGUGUGAGAGUGGAAAGUUCACACAGUGACGGUAACUUACCAGAAAGGGACGGCUAACUACGUGCCAGCAGCCGCGGUAAUACGUAGGUCCCGAGCGUUGUCCGGAUUUAUUGGGCGUAAAGCGAGCGCAGGCGGUUGAAUAAGUCUGAAGUUAAAGGCAGUGGCUUAACCAUUGUUCGCUUUGGAAACUGUUGACGUUAAGUGCAGAAGGGGAGAGUGGAAUUCCAUGUGUAGCGAUGAAAAGCGUAGAUAUAUGGAGGAACAACGGUGGCGAAAGCGGCUCUCUGGUCUGUAACUGACGCUGAGGAUCGAAAGCGUGGGGAGCAAACAGG
Molecule: ribosomal RNA, 429 nt
Filed under: bacterium
Lineage: Bacteria
Description: partial 16S ribosomal RNA
Rfam family: Bacterial small subunit ribosomal RNA
Source: RNAcentral